RNAcentral lists this ribosomal RNA (253 nucleotides) under uncultured bacterium. RNAcentral describes it as "partial 16S ribosomal RNA". It matches the Rfam family "Bacterial small subunit ribosomal RNA", at positions 524 to 776 of the family's 1533-position model. The record is from RNAcentral.
GCCGGAGGGGGCAAGCGUUAUCCGGAAUUAUUGGGCGUAAAGCGUCCGCAGGUGGCGAUUCAAGUCUGCUGUCAAAGGUCGGGGCUUAACCCCGGGAAGGCCGUGGAAACUGAAUAGCUAGAGCGCGGUAGGGGCAGAGGGAAUUCCCGGUGUAGCGGUGAAAUGCGUAGAGAUCGGGAAGAACACCAGUGGCGAAAGCGCUCUGCUGGGCCGGCACUGACACUGAGGGACGAAAGCUAGGGGAGCGAAAGUG